ACAUUCAAGCUCAGGUUGGACAGGCUCUGAACAACCUGAUCUAGUUGAUGUUCCAACCCAGAUGGUUCUAUGAUCUGACCUACUUUACUUUGCAAACCUUUGAAUUUCAUAUAUCAAUACACAGAAAAGGCUAAAAUCCUCAUUCUCAAAGAAUAUGACUAUUAAAAUAGCAUCUGUUUCAACACUUCAAUACCAAGAUAAUGUUUGCAAUGUUUGUUUCUAAGACUGCAGUCUCAAGCAUACCUCAUUUGCAACUAUACCUUAUGUCCUUUUUAUAGCCUGUGGAAUGUCUGAAAUCCGGUCGCCCUCUCUAAAAUGUACCAUUUAAACUAUUUAUUAAAAUGUAUUAAAAGCACAAAAUAAAAAAAUAAUGAUAAAUAAUGUCACAAAAUACAUUUGUGGUUGUAACUUUCUGAUUUUCUAUUAAAAAGGCUACUAGACAAAUACAAUUAGACAAACACAGACUUCUAUGAAACAAAAGGCAGAAGGGUAGCCUAACCCUCCUAACAAAGCAGGAACUGGAAGAGAGAAAUUAUAAACCCUCUUUCAUUUUAAAUCUCCCUCUUUUAAUUUGUGAAACAUAAAUUCUUAGUUUAAGGUUCUUAAAUGAAACACCUGCAGAGAUUCUAUUUUUUAAGCACAUCUGUGUAAUCCAGUGCAAUAAUCACAAUUCACAUAUCAUUCUCAGCUGGGUCUCUUUGCUACCUCUGCUAGGUCUUUUCCAACCUUAAUGAUUCCAUGAUUCUAUGAUAGUGGAGGAAACACACAAGCGUGUUAAUUAACACCACGUGGGUGGCAAAUGCUGAGCUCUGGGCUGUCACAGAAAAAAAUAGCAGAAGCUAUUUGGUGUCCACGAGAUUGAAUUUAUGUUUCUCAGUAAUUGCUUUCUCCACUUAAAUUAUUUUUUAAUUUGAUACUAGAAGACAUAAAAAAAAAAGGACAAGUUCUUCCAGAUUAAAAUACUUCAGACAUGUCUGAACUUUCAGCCCUUGAUGUAUUCAAGAAUUUUUCUGUUUUCAAAUAAGCAACGAACUCAAACCCUCAGAGAUACUGACAGUUUUAAUGUAAAACAGUUCUAUUUUCUUUGCUAAAAGCUGGGAACUGAAGUAUACUACAUGUUUACCAGAUUCUGCAUUUAAGAUGUCCAGACAUACUGUAUAUACUCAGGAUAUGCACUGAGUCCUCAUUUUUGUUCCUUCUAGAGACAUUUCCUUCACACUUUAUUUUCUGUGAUAAAUACUGAUAAAGUGCUAUCUUAUUUUGGAUUUCUGUUUUGACUACAGUUUGAAAAGUUUAUUAGAAUUUAUCCCAGUGUAAGGAAGAAGAGGAAACCCUAUCAAAGAUGCCAACAAGACAUUUCUUACCCUCCCUUAAUGCUUAAAAAUUAGUAGUGUUAGCUUAAAUAUUCAUAAUAAAACCAAGAAACCUUUGAAACAAGUUGUCAAAAGAUAUAGUAGCAACAAUUCAGAGUUAAAGCUCUAUUAUUUUUUCAAAAUGUUGCUGUACAACUUCAGGUGAAAAAAUAAUGUGCUGCAAAAUCUUAGGUAUAUGCAUAAUUUUUUAAAUACUCUUAGUUCUUGCCUGAUUAUAAUUAUUCAUGUACAUGGGAAAUUGUAAGGUGAUGAAUGUCAAUAUGUACAGUAAAAAUAACUUUUAACUACAUGCAUAUGGCAAGGAAGGACUGUUGCUAAUCUUUUUGUAACAGCUUAAAUGAUCAUAAUUCUUGCUUUUGUUAAUGGCUUUUUCCUGCUUAACUGUUGAAAACAUUUUCGUACGGUAUGGUGGCCUUUCUCCAGGUUUACAGAAUAUUGUUUUCUUGUUUCAAGAGGGAAAAUUUACAUUAACUUUCAUAUAUAGUAAUUGACAUUUAUAGUGCAUGUGGGAUUGAUUACUUUACCACAUGAGAAAGCUGCAGCCUUAAAAUAUACAGAAUAUGAGACAAUAUCAUCAUGUUCCAAGACGUUAUUUCGUCUGUACUAUUAAAAGGUCCACUGCUGGUCAGUUUCAAUAUUCUUGAUAUCUGAAGUUUUUACUAUGAGAACAUACAUUAUGUCUUAAUGCACAGUCAUUUCUGAAUGUCCAUCAACAUUGUAUGUAUUGCUGUGUUGUUGUUUCACCUGUGUAAGUCUCACUGUGAAAUUUUGCCUGAAACUCUAGCAAAGACAUUGACAGUAAAAGUGUUACGAAAAAUGAAUUUUAAAGGUUUGUAAUCUUGGUCUGAACAAGUAUAUGACAUUUAUGACAAAUUCUGAGCUGCUUUUCCCAACCAAAAUUAUGUUUGAAAUUAGCCAGAUUAUUUUUCUGGAAAACAAGAAAAGUUGAAUUGGAAUUUUGUGCAAUAUUUUGGCUCUUAGCAUUGCACAAACUUUUGUUAUUUCCAGAAGCAUUAAAGUAAAGCUGUAUAGCAUGCAUCAAAAAUCGUAAAAUCAACACAAGAAUACUUUUUUUUUUUUAGUUUUUAAUGUGAGAACCUCCAUUAGCAUUACCUUAAAAGUUUUCAUUUCUUUUAGUAUAAAAAUUAUGGCAAUUCAGCUCACAACUUUUAGGUCAAAACUAUACCUUAAAUUCUGUUACAGUUUGAGGACAAAACCUGAAACAAACUUUAGCUGUGAUUCUCAGGAGGAACAUUUUUUAAGUAGUGAAAGGAGCACCAGCCUCAAUGAAGCAUAAGAUUUCCCCCAUCUGUUCUCUGACUGUAUAUGCAUUUCCCUUGUGAAUGUGUGUGUGUGUGUCCCAGUCUCCUUCCACCCCCAAAAUUCUGACAAUAAAAUUGAAGUAGCCUUCAUCUUAACAACUUCUAGCAAUAACCAGUUUUAUUUGUUCUUUGAAAAUUGAAAGGAAUCAGGUAACAAAAUUAUAGAAAAUAGUUAACUGAAGUUUCACAUUGUCAUGUUAGAAACACAAAUAUUUGAAAUGUGAUGACAGAGAAGGUCACAGCCACACUAUUAAAUACAGCACCAUCGAAGGCGGAGUGAGAAAGACACUUGCUGCAGGAUACCCUCUAAGUGGGUGCAGCAUAGAAGGAGGUGUCUUCAGGCCCUAUCAGACACUGCUCUUGCCCUUCCUGCUAGUUGGGAGAAGUUGGACACUCACAGUGUUUGGAUACCUGGUGGAGAGAAAGUGCUGGAAGAGUCCACAGAGGAAAAGGGUACUAAAAUAUCUCAGCACUGCCAAUAUGCCAUUUAUCCGUACUAAUGACAGCUGUAAAACUGACUGAUGGGCUCCCUGAAUAAUAUUUCUGUACAAUAGUUUGUUCUUUAUUUGUCAUAAACUUUAUUAAAUCCUAAAGCUUUGAUCUUGGACAUGAUUUUUCUUCCGUUAACCUUGAAAAUAUCUCAGAAAGAUUAGUAAGCAUUAUUAUCUUUUAUACACAAAAAAAUCACAUACCAAGUUUAAGGAUGUACAGGUUCUGUUCAGGGAGAGAGAGAGAGAGGUGAGGAAGUUGCUUUUUGCAGUUACCAGAAAACUGUUACUCCCCACCUGCAGGUGACCAUUAGCAUGGGAAGCAAAGGAUCACUUACUCUUUUUUCUGAGUUAACUUUAAAUCUAUCUUGGAGCAAAGAAACACACUACACUAUGUAAUUAAAUGAAUUCUAAGUCACUGAAAACAUAUGUUACAAAGGUGCUAAACAUGACUGCAAAAAAAGCUUCAUCUGAGUUAUAUUUCUGGUUAGUCAUUGGUGGUAGGUUACUUUCAACUGUAAGUUUAAACAUACAUGAUUAAUUAAAUAUAUAUCGCUCACAUUUUAUAUUUUCAUAUUGAGUAUGUAAAUGUUAAAGUUUAAUAGACAAUUAAAAGAUACAUUUUAGAUCUUGACUUCUAACUGCUUAUUCUUUAAGAUUUGGUAGAGUUAACAAUGCUAAUUUAAUUUAAUUUUAUUUGCACAGUUAUUGGAGAACCACUUUGCCAUACUUAAUUUCAUUUCAUGGAGAAAUCUUGUUUACAAUGGUCUCGAUUUUUUCUUUCUUCUUCUUUUUUUUAAUUAAAAAAAGCCAUGAUCCUUCUGGGACUCUGUGAAGGAUACCUCCUCUUCUAUUUUUAUAUGAUCUUCAGAGAGCUUUAACCUCUCCUACAUAUCACUGUCAGUUUUAUAUAAACACAUCUAUUUUGAUAACUUCAACAUGUCAUAAUCUUUUAGAGAGGGAGACAGGAAAAACAGCAUGAUCAGUAUUAUAUGAUAUUCAUUACAUGUCACUGAUGUACAUUUAACCUUUUUAUUCCAGGGCAUUAUUCAAAUAAGUCUGUGCCAGUUCUAGGAAACCUCUGCCUUCUGAGAUAUUUUAUUUUAAUUAUUCAAGACAACAUUGCAAUUCUACCAGUGAAAUGUUUAAUUUCUUCUCUCUCUCUCUUUUUUUUUUUUUUUUUUUUUUACUGCAUCCUAUCUAACAGAUGGCAGCUUGGGUAAAAGUGGGUAAAAUUGUUAUUGAUCAGAUGUGUACUGGAUUUCCUGAGUUUGCCAUUACAUAUUUCUAAAAUUCCUGAGGCUAAAGAAGAAAUAUGAGGUAGGACAAUUGCUCAAAAAUAGCAAAUGAGCCUUUCUGAAAUGAAGCACUGAGUGAAUACUAAAAUUAUAUGUUUGUGAGUUGUUCGUAAAUCAAGAUUUCUAAUAGGAUAAAAUGAGUUUGUGGUAGAUUCUGAUUUGACAUAGUUAUUACUGAUCCAGUGUCUGUAUUUCUCUUUACCAAAACCACAUUAAGAUAUGUGUAUGUGUAUUCCAUUAGACACUAGAGAUUCUACAUUUAUAAACAAAUACCCUGCUUUCUGUUGUUUUAAAGACAUUACAUUAAUAUAAUUUACUUGAAAUCUUACAUUUCUUCUGACUUAAGUACAGGGAUUGGUCUUAAGAGCUCAAAGGAACCCAAAAAAAAUGGAAAGAAGAGUAUCUCACUUAAUAUAUCUCUUUUUCAGUGUUCAGAUUCUUCUUCCAAAGAGUUAAUGAAGCUACACAGCUCCUUUAACCUGCUGAGAGUCAUUGAUCUGAUCUGGCUAGCCUGCAGGUUCACACAAAGAAGAUAGCUGGACAACAGCUGUUUUAUUAACAGCAGAGGACGGUUGGUUGCAGAAGAAAGGUGGAAGGUAGGAAUUUGAACUAUUUUCUACAAGGAAAGCUUUGCCAGAUUAUUUUCAACUGAUUCUAGCAAACCCCAGGGACACUGACUUGGAUGAGACAACUCAUGUGCGAUUCAGUAUCUUGUUCCAAGGAUGUAGUGUCAAUCCCCUGCUGGACACAGCCAAGUGGGUGAACAGUGAAGUCAUGAAAAAGGGAAAGAGCUUUGGAUAAUAAUAAAAAAAAAAGACUCAGGUGAGUUCAAAAGAGUUGUAUCCUUCGUUGGUGUAGAUUUUCACACUAUGGCACACAGAGGCUUCCUAGGAUGAGCAGCUGUAGAAUAAAGUCUUAGUGAAGAAUAAAACCUUAGUGGCAACAUCUAUCAUACUAUGUGAGCUGAGAAUAGCAGUUUCUGAAACCAUUAAAAAAUAACUGCAUGCCAGGACACUUUGGUAGAAGAAAUGCUAUGAUAAGACUGUGCCCCCGGCAUGGCUUCCCCUCAUCCUGCCCAUAGUCCAGAGCUCUGUGUCUGCCACAGGGAACAUCAGGCCCUGCCCAAGCAAUGUUGUUUCAUUGUGCAAGAUAUUCAAGAAAUGUACCCAUCUUGCCUUCAGCUAAUAAACAUACCUGUUUGAGUGUUUAACAAGCACACCAGGCAAAAAAAUAGUAGCUUAAUAAUUUUGCAACAAAGGAUACUGAUAUUUAUGAAGUAGACCAAUUAUUGCUUUUUUUUCAUCUUUAAUAUGCAUGUCCUGUCUUAAAUUUAGAUAAAAUUACUGCAUGUCAUAUACUUCAACCUGCUACUCAAAGCAGGGUUAGAUGAAAAUUGGAUCCAUCUGUGCUGGACCUUGUCUAGCUGAGUUUUGAAAGUUUCUAAGGUUGGAGAUUUCACAAUCCUUUUGAUGAUCUUAUUUCAGUGUUUAACCCUCUCAUUGUAAGAUUUCUUUUUUUAAAGUAAUGCAGUUUCAAAAUGUAAUGAUUUCAAAAGGUAAUGAAAAAGAAAACUGGAAAAAAAUGGGAAAAAAUUAUUAAUUAAAACAAGUAUUUCAAUUAUACAUUUUCUCACUGUUCAUUUUUGAAUGAAAGGAAAACCAAAAAAACACAAGAAUAAUAAACAAACCAAAUGCCCAAAUUAAAUGUUCGGAAUCAUUCUAGCAGAUAUUUUAUUUGAUUGCAAAAAAAAGUUUAUGUUUUUUUACUGUAAGAAAAAAAAUAUUUAGCCAAAAUUAAAAACCAGUUAUUCAUGCAAUCAUCUAGACUAUUUUGAUGCUACUUAUAUAUUACUCAAAGAAAAAUUGUGUUGCCUUCUGUGUCCAAGAGUGUAUAUGUUCUGGGUUGAUUAAGAAUAUAUUCUUAUUUUUUUUUUGUUAAUACUUUAACUUUGUAGUUCAGACUUAAAGAAUUGCUUAGUAGUCAGCAGAAGCAAGAUCAGUUUGUCAUAUUCACUUUACAGUUGUAAGAAACAGUAUUAGUAAAUCAGAGAAUUGGAAGACUUGCAAACAAGUGUCAAGAAAACUGCAGACGAUGUUCAAUAAGGGAAGGACUGCACAUAUGUUGAAAGACUAACAGAAAGCAAAAUGAUCAUGACAAACUGGAAAAAGUCGUCUUAAAAGAAUGUGAUAUUUAACAAAUAAAAUGGAAGAAUCACUCCAACAAUCUACUUCAGUAGUACAGAAUGGAGAAUUGAAAAGCUGUCAGAAGUGAAAUACUUCGGGAUUAUAAUGGCCAAUGAAAAGAAUUUUAACACAGUAGUAUUGUGCUCCAGAGCUACAGGUGAACAGCCUGUAGCAUAUGAAGAGGGUCAUAGUCUACAUAACAUAAAAUCUUCCCUCCUCUUCAAAAUUCAUUUGAAGUGGUGUGCAAGUUUGAAGCUCUGCUCUUCAUGAAAGAUAUGGAGUAGUUGCUGAGUGGAAAAAAGAGAAUUCUGAGACAAGACAUGGAUCUCUUCAGAAAGGAUACUGAUGAGAGGAAGUGAGCAAGGUGUUUUCCUCCUUAAACUUAGACUUAGAACACACUUUAAUUACAAUACCUUCUAGGUUAGGCCUAGCAAAAAAAUAUUACCUAAAAUCUUACCUUCCUGGAAAGUGAUGCUAUUAUGGCAAGUUUUACCAGAUGACUUAUUAGAAUCUGUAAUAUCUCUUCAUCAUUAUAAAGGGCAUUUUAUUAUUUUACUUUCUGAAAUAAAAUCUGUUUUCAGA
Molecule: long non-coding RNA, 7246 nt
Organism: Pseudopipra pipra
Lineage: Eukaryota; Metazoa; Chordata; Aves; Passeriformes; Pipridae
Exons: 2
Source: RefSeq, a predicted model, not a curated record